GAUGAACGCUGGCGGCGUGCCUAAUACAUGCAAGUCGAGCGAACAGACGAGGAGCUUGCUCCUCUGACGUUAGCGGCGGACGGGUGAGUAACACGUGGAUAACCUACCUAUAAGACUGGGAUAACUUCGGGAAACCGGAGCUAAUACCGGAUAACAUGUUGAACCGCAUGGUUCAAUAGUGAAAGACGGUUUUGCUGUCACUUAUAGAUGGAUCCGCGCCGCAUUAGCUAGUUGGUAAGGUAACGGCUUACCAAGGCAACGAUGCGUAGCCGACCUGAGAGGGUGAUCGGCCACACUGGAACUGAGACACGGUCCAGACUCCUACGGGAGGCAGCAGUAGGGAAUCUUCCGCAAUGGGCGAAAGCCUGACGGAGCAACGCCGCGUGAGUGAAGAAGGUCUUCGGAUCGUAAAACUCUGUUAUUAGGGAAGAACAAAUGUGUAAGUAACUAUGCACGUCUUGACGGUACCUAAUCAGAAAGCCACGGCUAACUACGUG
Molecule: ribosomal RNA, 497 nt
Filed under: uncultured bacterium
Lineage: Bacteria
Description: partial 16S ribosomal RNA
Rfam family: Bacterial small subunit ribosomal RNA
Source: RNAcentral